GCGCCUUUGCAAAUGGUCUUUCUUGGUCUUUGCAGUGAAGUCGUCUUACAGUCACCAGGCCAGCCUUGGGAGGUACAAGGAUCAUCCAGGGCCUGAUCUGAGUCUGGAGAAUGGGGGCUUCCUGACAAUGAUUUAGAGGCCGGUAUGAGCAGGCUCUCAAGCUGAGAGGGGUUGUUUGGGCAUGAUAGAAGAUCUCCUUGAUUAACUCUCCACAGCUAACACUUAUCCUGGGUGUUUGUCUGCUUUUCAUCAGGCUUUGUACAAGGGAGAGAGGUACGAUCAGUUCACACUCCUGCAGCAGAGGCUUGUUUGCAAUUUUGCAAAGCAACAGCUUCUCUUGUUUCCUUGUCAUUCAACAUAAAGAGAGGACUCAUAAAAUCAUAGAAUCACAGAAUGGUUUUGGUUGGAAGGGACCUUGACGGUCAUCUAGUUCCAGCUCCCCCACCAGAGCACAGAUGCCACCCACCUGGCUGACAGAGCACAAAGUCAUGUCGAAUGCAACUGACAGCAAAAACCAGGAGGGGAUAGGGAAGUCAAACAAUCGCUCCAGAUCUCAGGAGAAAUGGACCAAACAAAUGGACCAUACAAAUAUGUUCUUGUGUGACCUCUCCCAAGAAGAUGGACUUCUGUCCUCCUCCAGUAGCAUGACCACAGUGAGGUUCGUGAAUUUUCUAAUACCUGUGUGUUAGCAGAUUUGAUCCAUGUCACCCAUUCCACACUUGGAUCAUGUUUUAGGCUCUAGCAUUGACACUAAUAAAGUCCUUGUUCUAACUAUGCUGUUUUCAACCACUGGAGCUCAUGGUGUUUGUAGGUCCAAACCCAGGACACAGGGAACAAACACCUUUCACUGCAAUAAUGCCAAUAUACUGACCAUGGCUGGUGUUCCAAAUGGAGCUCCUCUUCAGAGAGCUUAUGUCUUAAAUUUACACCCUUCUAUCCCUUUUCCCUCUCCUGGAGCCUUUUAUAGUUGCCUGACAGAGAGCCAAGGAUUGAGCUCCUCCCAUGCUGGCUGAAACAAGUCAGGAUGCUUGAACAAUGCCAGCUCCCAGCCUGGGAGAUCAGGCAGGCGAGUGGGUGACAAGGAGGAGGGAAGAACGCACCUUUGAGCAGCAGCCUUCGUGAUGUAUUUGGAUGAGGGUGUUUGUUCACAGCUUCAAUGAUUUUUCCACCUCCAGCAAACUGCUGACUACCAUCUGAUGGCAAAAUAAACCAAAAUUGUGUGCAUCACCUCUACUUCUUACUCUAACAGCAAAACAUCUGCAUAGCUGUGCUCCUGAGCCCCUCUGGUAGUCUGAAGUUGAGGAUUCAGAUCCUUCGUAUAAAAAAGGAUGUGAUGUAAUCCAUUUUUCAUUCAGUGGCUUUCAUAGAUGUGGAGGGUGAGAAAACAUGCUUAGAACAGCUGUGGAGUUUAAAAUGAGUGUGUUGGCUGCAAAACACUGUGUGGCGGGACACACUUUGCUGCAUUUGGCACAUGCUGGAAGAGCUGGGGUUUGAGAAGUACCAUUCAGAUUUCAGUAAUCCACAUACAAGUUCUUCUCAGGGAACGAUAGACAUAGCUACUGUGGAGUACUUUUUGUCCACUAGGCUUGUUAUCCUGUCAAAGAAUAUAAUUAAAUUGGCUUUUCAGAUGCACUAUAAGCCCCAGUUGUCUGCUAUUUAUCACCUUAUUUUGCUGUAGCUGCUCACACAACAACUAUGUUAUUAAUUCGUUACCUAGUUUUUAGCAAUUGAUGUAGUGUUCUUUGUGUUCUAGUUCCCUGUCUUCCAUUACCUAUAUAGAUUGGAAGCUUUUUCAUUUCUUGGAAGGAAAAACUGGCUUCUAUUCUUUCCUAGCAGAUAACAUUUAGGGUCACACUUUGACUGCAGGAGUGCUCAUAAGUAAUCCUCACAGUUGUGAUUAUUCAGCUGGUCACCCAGUGGUGCUACAUUGAGUAAUAGCCUGUAUUUAAGUUUUCUGUGUCUUCAUGUUGAAUUUCAGAGAUCUGCUUUGUGAUUUGGCUUGUUGCUUCCUUCCUGAUGUCAGGAAAGGCUUUCUAAAGGUAUUAAGCUUUUUUGGUAGAAAAUCGGCAAGAGUUUCAGUCUUCAUACAACCACAAUAAAGCAGAAUGCUCUGUGUGCCUUUCCUGUAGUAACUGAAGGGUAUCCACCUGCUUUAUUUACAUGAAUUAAUAUGUUCUCAAUGGCUCCUCUGUAGUAGAAGGAUUUCAUUCUUGCUAUCUCUUAGAAAAGGCAAAUGAGGGAUUAGAAAGGGUGUGGAUUGCUCCAAGUUCAUUGAGAGCCACAAACUGUGAUUGAAAUCUCUAACACCUGCCUUGAAUAGCUACACUGGAGCAUGUGUAGUACAAAAGCUGCUUAGAACUAGCUUCCUCAGCUCUGUAAGACACUGUUAACUCCAUGAAACCCUCACUUUCCUGGAUGCUCUCUCUUCUUGCAAUAGCCAGAUAAACACUUUAGGUGAAAUGCUCCCCAAAUUUCUCCUGGUUGUUUUUGCCACCCACAGGAAAAAUCAUGUGGGUCUGGUCCCCCACCUUUUUGGAUACAGCUGUAUCCUGAUCACCCUAAAAUCCUUUCUUAGAGAGACUUCUGCCAGGAUAUAAGAAGGAGGUUGUUAUAGAGGUAGGGAAGAUCUUGUCAACCAGGACAAUAGGGUCUUAGGGGUAGAAAAGUCAUACUUUUUCAGCCUACUUUGCCCAAGCUGUGGCAAGACAAGUUACAUUAUCCUAAUGAAAGAGAAGCCUGACUUUUUGGAAUUGGUGGGGGACAGCGAGUCUUGGAGAUAGAAAUAGCCUCUUUUCUCAGCAUCAGUCUCUCCAGGGGUUUCUCCUACUUCUUCCAUCCAGUCCUAUCUUCUUUUCUCCCACCUUUUCCAAAAACCCUAAACCCUGGAGUAGUAAAAUUAAGUUUUACCAAAGUCACUGAAGCAUUGAGCUGCUUCUGAGCUGUAACUUCUCUGUGCAUUUCCCAUUUUCCAUGCUUCAGUAUCUGAGGUAAAAGCUUCCUUUCUCAAAGAAGGUUCUAUCAAAUACAAUUCCAGGCCUGGAGGGGGAAGAGUGAAUAAACAUUCACAAUUUAUAUUCUUAAAUGUAAUGAAUUUUAAAGACAAUCUUGUGUUUUGAGACAUGGCGUGUGCUUUUUUAUCAUUUGGAGCUGGCAAAAGUACAAGUGUCUAUAGGAAAUUUUAAAACCUGUUAACAUUAUAAACAGAGUACAUUGCUCCCAUUCCCCACUCCGGAUCAGCUAUACUGGGUUUUUAAAAAGUGCCUAUCAGAAACAUCAGCUCCCCUCCUUCAGGGGUUGCAAGAUCUUCUCUAAAAUGAUCCUGCUUGCCCUCUAGAAAAUGCAGCUUCACAGGUGGAAUCAAGCCCUGACAGAGGGUACACUGAUGUGGAGGAACAGCAAGAGGGAUAAAAAGCUCCGAGCUGCCCUUACUCACGCAGGGAUGCAGGUGCUCAAGUGCGAGACACUUGGGCGGUGCGCAGGGAGAGGAAGCUGGCUCUCUUCCUGAGCAUGGCAGCAGCUGAGAUAUUAAUUCCAUGCUGCUGAGAGCGCCAAGUUCCCUCAAAAUGAAAAUAAGGCAGUUGUAAAGAGAAGUGGAGACCCAGGGUUAACUGUGAUAUCCUGCAGGAGAAGAUAAUAUUGAAGCGCUGUCAAGCGCUUUCACACGCCCCGGUCAUUUCAUCUUUGUGUCCGACACAAUGGCCAGGAAGGGAGCACAGCACUUAAGGCUCAGAAAGGAGAGCAGAUAGGGGCAGAUGAAGCUAAAGGGCUUGAAAGGUCAGAGAAGAGAAGGAAAAACAUUUCCAUGUUUCUCACAGCAACCUGAGCAAUAAUCCUGGAACAUGGACACAGCUGCAGCUGGCAAAAAAGAUGCAAAAACCAACAAUAAAAUCCUCCUGGGAUUAGGAAACAGUGAGGAGCUAGACUGAAAACCAGACACAUUUCAGAAUAAAUUCAGUGUUUAAAAGCAAUGAUGUGAAAGGCACAUGAGCCACAGUAAUAAAAUGUGGUAUGAGCUGUUACUGUAAACAGGGAGGAAUAAUUGACAGGGAACUAAAACAGAUCCGCACAGCAUGCAUAGCCCAGGGCCCUGCAAGCCGAUGGCUGAAUGAGAGGAAGAGGAGUGGCGUGGGGGCACAUCAGAGAGUCUGACAAAUCACUGCCAGAAAAUACAUAAACCACACAACAGCCC
This is a long non-coding RNA of Taeniopygia guttata (zebra finch), 4189 nucleotides long. NCBI's taxonomy places the organism in Eukaryota, Metazoa, Chordata, Aves, Passeriformes, Estrildidae. The record is from Ensembl.